CCCACGAGCCCUCCAUUUCGUACGGCCUCCCAAAAAUCUCAAUCCAUUGCUUCUUCUUCCCUUCUCUCUCCAAGGGUGGAGGAGGGGGAGGAGGAGGAGGAGAGAGGAGAGAAUUUUCUCUCACGGGCCGGGUUAAGGGGCAUCGGAGCAAGGGAAGGACUCCCACCGCAGAAGUGGCUGCCUCCGUGGCGUCUUUCCUAGAUGGAUUACAUAUCCCCUGAGAGAAGUCUGGAUGGGACUUGUGGAGACCCUGGUCCUUUAUUUGGAGAUCAAGAUGGUUGCUUGUUGGAGCACAUGGAUUAUCAUGGUGAAGGAAUUACACAACCUGAAUCCCCACCACUGAAUGAUGGACUUUUAGUUGACGCAGCCGAUCAAAUUUCAUAUUUGUCUGCAGAUUCUGUACCCUAUAUGAAUGAUCAGAUUAUGUGCAAUACAAUGAAAUCUGCUUCAACUAGUCCAGCAUCUCCCCUGAAGCAAGACGAGGAACAUCAUGUGCAUAUAGAAUCUGAUAUGCAAAACGAUGCAGCUGAACGGAAAGUUCACCAUAAUGAUGACUGUGAAGUACGUACCACUUCUCCGGGUUAUGAUGUGCAUCAGAAUACAGAAGUGGUUGAAGGUGUGCUUCCUCCAGAGCUUCAUGAAAGCAGUGGUAAUGAUAUAUCAAACUUUCAACAAGAAACUACACAUUCUGAUGCCUAUCUUGGCGACUCUAUGUUAGCUGAUAAUAGCAGUAGGGAUUAUCAAUUUAGCAAUAGCGGUGAUGAUGAUGAUGAAAUUCCAAACUCUUCUGCGCCUCAGAUGGGAAAUAAGGACAACAGAAAGUUACAUGAGACUUUCCACAAUGAAGUGAAUGGGACAGAGGAUGAUCAAAUGAAUGGUGGGAAUUCUAAUCCUCAUGAUGAACAUGACAAUGAGAACUUCAACUCUGCAAUUGCACCUUCCUAUUUGGAUGGGAUGGAGCAGGAAGAUCCUGGUACCGAGAAUGGCAUUUCUACGCCUGGCAAUCAGUGGGAUUCUCCACCUGAAAGGUCUGCAGGACUAGAGAAGGGCACACCAUCACCAGCCAGGAGGGUCUCACUUUCAGUAGAAAGGUCACCUCAUGCUCAUUCAUCUGAGAAACUGGACUCACCACAUCAUGCAAAAGAGGGUGAUAAUUUGGCUGACUCUCGAAGCCCACCAGCAAGACAUUGGUCCCAAUCUCCUGGAUCUCCUGAAAACCAUGACACCAACCGUAGAAGAGCUCCCUCACAUGAGUUGUCUCCACAUGCACGGGAUAACUCUCCAGAAAGAAAAGCACAAUAUCGGCGUGGAGAUGGGUCGCCGCGCCGAAGAUCUACAUCCCCUGGAAGAAGAGAUGGGUCACCGCAGCGAAGAUCAGCUUCCCCUAAAAGAAGAGAUGGGUCACCGCGACGAAGAUCAGCUUCGCCUAGAAGAAGACAUGGUUCACCACGCCGAAGAUCUGCAUCCCCUAAAAGAAGAGAUGGGUCACCUCGCAGAAGAUCUCCAUCCCCCAAAAGAAGACAUGGGUCACCACGACGAAGAUCUCCAUCCCCUAAAAGGAGGCAUGGGUCACCACGGCGAAGAUCUCCAUCCCCUAAAAGGAGGCAUGGGUCACCACGGCGAAGAUCUCCAUCUCCUAAAAGAAGAGCCUCGCCCAAGAGGAGGGGUUCACCAAGGAGGAGGGAUUCCCCAACAAGGAGGGAUUCCUCUCCAAGAAGGAGAGACUCACCAAGAAAGAGAGAUUCCUCACCAAGGAGGAGGGAUUCCCCAACAAGGAGGGAUUCCUCUCCAAGAAGGAGAGACUCACCAAGAAAGAGAGAUUCCUCUCCAAGGAGGAGGGAAUCCCCAACAAGAAAGAGGGACUCCCCAACAAGGAAGAGAGAUAGAUCAAAAUCAAGGUCACCAUCAAGGAAAACUGAUUCCUCUAGACAUAAAAGGGAGCAUGGUAGAUCUCGAUCAAGGUCUCCACACUCUAGGAAUCACCAUAGAAGAUCUCCAAGAAGAAGGCAUUCACCAAGGCACAGAUCACCUCCAGCAAGGCAUCAUUCUCCUAAAAGAUGUUGGUCACCACCUGCCAACAGGAAGACUGGAUUGGGUAAGCCUGGGCGGAAUCUGUUUGUUGCAGGUUUUAGCUAUGCCACCACAGAGCGAGAGUUGGAGAAGAAAUUUGCAAAGUUUGGACGUGUAACAAGGGUGCGGGUUGUCCGAGAUAAACGAACUGGAGAUUCUCGAGGCUUUGGAUUUUUAUCCCUGGAGAAGGAUGAGGACGCUGAUGCAGCAAUCCGAGCUUGCGACGAGACUGAGUGGAAUGGUAGGAUCAUUCUUGUGGAGAAGUCCAAGGCACCUGCAUGGUGAAUCUUACACCCUAGAGCUCUGCAAACAAUGCUCUGGGUGGGAGGGACCGACCAGUUUGCACAGCUUUUAUCGUACCAACAGUAUAACAUAAACUAUUAAUUAUCAUUACAUGUGGCAAAGUUUACUUGAACCAGCUCUCUAUGCUGUACUAGGAGUAAGUAAUAAUGCACUUGCUAUGGCUGCCUUGCUGACAAUUAUUGAAGAAUAAGAUUAUAUGCCAAACCUUAGCUUGUUUCAGGGCCCUGCUGCUGAUAAAGAGGGAGUUAGCGGUACACAUUGCUUUUAAUAUCUGCAACCUCUACUACACAUUCAUGACAUUCAUCCUCUUCUUCCUCUGCAUGGUGAUCGAGUGUUUGGCUGGCAGUUCAGUUCAUGGUGAUGCAUGGGCGAAAUUCAGACUUGCGAGGCUGUGUUGGUCAUUUUUAAGUUAGAACAAUAAUUUUAUACGUUUGUAUGUGUUCUGUGUUUUAGGUCGUGGAUACUACUAUAUGUUGGAUAUGGCCCGAUAACUUUUUUGCUGUCUUUUCUUUCUGUCUCUACUCAUGAAUCAGAAAUAUUUUAUGCAAAAAAGAACGACAUUCUGAUCCUU
RNAcentral lists this ribosomal RNA (2944 nucleotides) under Triticum aestivum (bread wheat). RNAcentral's name for it is "partial small subunit ribosomal RNA". The record is from RNAcentral. Lineage: Eukaryota; Viridiplantae; Streptophyta; Magnoliopsida; Poales; Poaceae.